This 523-nucleotide ribosomal RNA is filed under the name uncultured bacterium. RNAcentral's name for it is "bacterial SSU rRNA". It matches the Rfam family "Bacterial small subunit ribosomal RNA", at positions 986 to 1509 of the family's 1533-position model. The record is from RNAcentral.
AUCCAGCGAACUUGGCAGAGAUGCCUUGGUGCCUUCGGGAACGCUGAGACAGGUGCUGCAUGGCUGUCGUCAGCUCGUGUUGUGAAAUGUUGGGUUAAGUCCCGCAACGAGCGCAACCCUUAUCCUUUGUUGCCAGCGAUUCGGUCGGGAACUCAAAGGAGACUGCCGGUGAUAAACCGGAGGAAGGUGGGGAUGACGUCAAGUCAUCAUGGCCCUUACGAGUAGGGCUACACACGUGCUACAAUGGCGCAUACAAAGAGAAGCGACCUCGCGAGAGCAAGCGGACCUCAUAAAGUGCGUCGUAGUCCGGAUCGGAGUCUGCAACUCGACUCCGUGAAGUCGGAAUCGCUAGUAAUCGUGGAUCAGAAUGCCACGGUGAAUACGUUCCCGGGCCUUGUACACACCGCCCGUCACACCAUGGGAGUGGGUUGCAAAAGAAGUAGGUAGCUUAACCUUCGGGAGGGCGCUUACCACUUUGUGAUUCAUGACUGGGGUGAAGUCGUAACAAGGUAAGCGUAGCGAG